UACGAAGGGGGCUAGCGUUGCUCGGAAUCACUGGGCGUAAAGCGCACGUAGGCGGACUCUUAAGUCGGUGGUGAAAUCCUGGAGCUCAACUCCAGAACUGCCUUCGAUACUGAGAGUCUCGAGUCCGAGAGAGGUGAGUGGAACUGCGAGUGUAGAGGUGAAAUUCGUAGAUAUUCGCAAGAACACCAGUGGCGAGGGCGGCUCACUGGCUCGGUACUGACGCUGAGGUGCGAAAGCGUGGGGAGCAAACAGG
This 253-nucleotide ribosomal RNA is filed under the name uncultured bacterium. RNAcentral describes it as "partial 16S ribosomal RNA". It matches the Rfam family "Bacterial small subunit ribosomal RNA", at positions 524 to 776 of the family's 1533-position model. The record is from RNAcentral.